AUGAGGUGGAAACGGACAGAGCUGGCGUAUCUGGCCUGUAUUCAGUUAUGAGUCCUCUGGCUACAUGCAUACCGCUCUCCAGAUUUGGACGGUGGCUUGUUUGCUUGGGGUUUUGUGAUGCAUUUGCAGGUGGAGUGCGCUGAGGUGCUCGGGGCAGCUGCAUGAGCUCGGUGUUGAGGCCAGCUCUUCGGAGUCUGGUACCCGGGCCGUGGGAAUGCUGUUUGUCCUGGGCGAUUAAGGCAGUGGUUUCGGGCUCGUGUGGGCGCCGAGCUGGCAUUCGGUGGCGGUCGCAUGCGACACGUUCCGGCGGUCAGUUCGGUCCUGCUCGAGCUCUCAAUACGCCUGUCCUCGGUGUAAAAGCCGGUUAUCUGUCCGACCCGUCUUGAAACACGGACCAAGGAGUUUAGCGUGUGCGCGAGUCAUUGGGUGUUGAAAACCCAGAGGCGCAAUGAAAGUGAAGGUCUUCCUUGUGGAGCUGAUGUGUGAUCCUGGGCGCUGCGGCGCUCGGGCGCAACAUAGUCCCGUUCCAACCGCAUGCGGUGGGGCGGAGACAGAGCGUGCGCGCUGAGACCCGAAAGAUGGUGAACUAUUCCUGAGCAGGACGAAGCCAGAGGAAACUCUGGUGGAAGUCCGAAGCGAUUCUGACGUGCAAAUCGAUCG
RNAcentral lists this ribosomal RNA (660 nucleotides) under Verutus sp. CD2721. RNAcentral's name for it is "partial 28S ribosomal RNA". It matches the Rfam family "Eukaryotic large subunit ribosomal RNA", at positions 408 to 904 of the family's 3401-position model. Lineage: Eukaryota; Metazoa; Nematoda; Chromadorea; Rhabditida; Heteroderidae. The record is from RNAcentral.